This 292-nucleotide ribosomal RNA is filed under the name uncultured bacterium. Its description in RNAcentral is "partial 16S ribosomal RNA". It matches the Rfam family "Bacterial small subunit ribosomal RNA", at positions 505 to 796 of the family's 1533-position model. The record is from RNAcentral.
GUGUCAGCAGCCGCGGUAAUACGUAGGGUGCAAGCGUUAAUCGGAAUUACUGGGCGUAAAGUGUGCGCAGGUGGCCGCGCAUGUCGAGUGUGAAAUCCCCGAGCUUAACUUGGGAAUUGCGCUUGAAACUACGUGGCUAGAGUGUGGCAGAGGGAGGUGGAAUUCCACGUGUAGCGGUGAAAUGCGUAGAGAUGUGGAGGAACACCAAUGGCGAAGGCAGCCUCCUGGGCCAACACUGACACUCAUGCACGAAAGCGUGGGGAGCAAACAGGAUUAGAAACCCCGGUAGUCC